Molecule: ribosomal RNA, 309 nt
Filed under: Triticum aestivum (bread wheat)
Lineage: Eukaryota; Viridiplantae; Streptophyta; Magnoliopsida; Poales; Poaceae
Description: partial small subunit ribosomal RNA
Source: RNAcentral
AUGCUCUGCUCCGCCGCCGCGCGCACCGGCCGCACGAACCAUGCCCGUCUCACUGCACUAACCGUCGCGCGCCUUCACAUCUCGACCAAGAAGCAGAGCACCCGCAGCCAGCACCAUGGCGAGUCGGACUGCCGUGUCCGCCGUCGCCGUGGCCCUCUAUGGGGCGCCGCUCCCCUGAAUCUUGACUGCAGUGAGAUACCUGUCGCUCGUCUUUUUAACCCUCUAGAGAAAGUUCAUGCUGAUAAUGAUAUAAUCUCCAUGCUCCCCACCAAGGAGCUCAUCCGCAUAGGAUACUUCAGAACUCGGUGA